RNAcentral lists this unclassified non-coding RNA (591 nucleotides) under Sargassum ilicifolium. RNAcentral's name for it is "sequence contains 5.8S rRNA gene, ITS2 and 28S rRNA gene". Lineage: Eukaryota; Phaeophyceae; Fucales; Sargassaceae. The record is from RNAcentral.
UCUUGCGCUCCCGGGAUAUGCCUGGGAGCAUGCUUGUCGGGGAGGAGGAGGCGAAAACUCGCCCACAGCUUUGGGUUCGAUCUCGACCUCAAGGCGGUGGAGCGGAAUAUGAGUGUUCCGGGGAGCGGUAGUGCGGUGUGUAUUUUUGUACAUGCCUCCUGCUCGUCCCCUGAGUCCACCCAAGCCUAGAGAGCUACCGAUUGUCCGGGCCUCAUUGCCUUUGCGGCGCUGUAGACAGGUCCACCUUGCGUCCUCCGGAAGAUCCGCUGUUGAUACCUUCGCAACCUCGCCCCCUCUCGCGGGGCGGGGCAGGGCGAAGGAGACACUGACGCCGGGGAUGUGCGCGGGUUACCUUGAGGCGUCGCAGGAGGCAAGUUCACCUUGCGUCCUCCGGAGGAUCCGUUGUUGACGGCGCCCCCUAUCGCGGGGCGGGGACACAACGGGUCGCCGGGGAUGUGCGCGGGUGUCCUUGAGGCUUGGGACGGUAGGUAGUCUCGAGAGUACCGGUGAGAGGCCGGUGAUUAUGAUUAUGCCAUACCCCCGAUCAAGCAAGAAGACCCGCUGAAUUUAAGCAUAUACUAAGCGGAGGAA